This 417-nucleotide ribosomal RNA is filed under the name uncultured soil bacterium. Its description in RNAcentral is "bacterial SSU rRNA". It matches the Rfam family "Bacterial small subunit ribosomal RNA", at positions 26 to 431 of the family's 1533-position model. The record is from RNAcentral.
AGGACGAACGCUGGCGGCGUGCUUAACACAUGCAAGUCGAACGAGGUCCAUCCAGUGGCAACACUGGUGAAGACCUAGUGGCGAACGGGUGAGUAACACGUGAGGAACCUGCCCCGAAGACCGGGAUAACCCUCCGAAAGGAGAGCUAAUACCGGAUACCCUCACCGAAUCGCAUGGUUUGGUGAGGAAAUGGAUUCCGCUUCGGGAGGGCCUCGCGGCCUAUCAGUCUUGUGGUGGGUAACGCCACCAAGGCAUCGACGGGUAGCUGGUCUGAGAGGACGACCAGUCGACACUGGGACUGAGACACGGCCAGACUCCUACGGGAGGCAGGCAGGUGGGGAAUCGUUGCAACAAGUUGGGACGAAAAGGCCUAGGAUGCAGCAACGCCGCGUGCGGAUGACGGCUCGGUUGUAACCG